Molecule: ribosomal RNA, 434 nt
Filed under: uncultured Lachnospiraceae bacterium
Lineage: Bacteria; Bacillati; Bacillota; Clostridia; Lachnospirales; Lachnospiraceae
Description: partial 16S ribosomal RNA
Rfam family: Bacterial small subunit ribosomal RNA
Source: RNAcentral
ACGGGAGGCAGCAGUGGGGAAUAUUGCACAAUGGGGGAAACCCUGAUGCAGCGACGCCGCGUGAGUGAAGAAGGAUUUCGGUAUGUAAAGCUCUAUCAGCAAGGAAGAAAAUGACGGUACUUGACUAAGAAGCUCCGGCUAAAUACGUGCCAGCAGCCGCGGUAAUACGUAUGGAGCAAGCGUUAUCCGGAUUUACUGGGUGUAAAGGGAGCGUAGACGGCAAAGCAAGUCUGAAGUGAAAUCCCGGGGCUCAACCCCGGAACUGCUUUGGAAACUGUUUAGCUAGAGUGCAGGAGAGGUAAGCGGAAUUCCUAGUGUAGCGGUGAAAUGCGUAGAUAUUAGGAGGAACACCAGUGGCGAAGGCGGCUUACUGGACUGUAACUGACGUUGAGGCUCGAAAGCGUGGGGAGCAAACAGGAUUAGAUACCCUGGUA